AAGGGAGACCUAAUUCAGGUAGGAGACGAAAAAAAAGUAGUCGCUACCAAGAAUCAAUCCCAAAAGGUCGGAGCGAGGCGAAAUUGGCUUUCAAACUAGGUUCUGGGUUCACACAGGACCUGAAUCAGGAACAAGGGCUAUUAGCUCAGGUGGUUAGAGCGCACCCCUGAUAAGGGUGAGGUCCCUGGUUCGAGUCCAGGAUGGCCCACCUGUACAGGUGGCAAAAAGAAAGAAAAGAAGCGAGGAAUCAGCACCUUAUCUUACUGACAUAGUAAGAGAGAAUGCUGGCUCUGAGUAAAGAGUCCAGAGGAACCUUGAAAACUGCAUAGAGCUAGGUGAAAAAGCCAAAAAAGAAGACCGCAA
This 363-nucleotide transfer RNA is filed under the name uncultured Microcystis sp. RNAcentral describes it as "partial 16S-23S ribosomal RNA intergenic spacer". The stretch from base 135 to 208 matches the Rfam family "tRNA". Lineage: Bacteria; Bacillati; Cyanobacteriota; Cyanophyceae; Chroococcales; Microcystaceae. The record is from RNAcentral.